RNAcentral lists this ribosomal RNA (253 nucleotides) under uncultured bacterium. RNAcentral's name for it is "partial 16S ribosomal RNA". It matches the Rfam family "Bacterial small subunit ribosomal RNA", at positions 524 to 776 of the family's 1533-position model. The record is from RNAcentral.
UACGAAGGGGGCUAGCGUUGUUCGGAAUUACUGGGCGUAAAGCGCGCGCAGGCGGUUUUCCAAGUCCGUGGGGAAAGCCCGGAGCUCAACUCCGGAAAUGCCAUUGAAACUGUAAAACUUGAGGACGAGAGAGGUGAGUGGAAUUCCCAGUGUAGAGGUGAAAUUCGUAGAUAUUGGGAAGAACACCGGUGGCGAAGGCGGCUCACUGGCUCGUUUCUGACGCUCAGGCGCGAUAGCGUGGGGAUCAAACAGG